GAGAGUUUGAUCCUGGCUCAGGAUGAACGCUGGCGGCGUGCCUAAUACAUGCAAGUCGAGCGAACGGACGAGAAGCUUGCUUCUCUGAUGUUAGCGGCGGACGGGUGAGUAACACGUGGAUAACCUACCUAUAAGACUGGGAUAACUUCGGGAAACCGGAGCUAAUACCGGAUAAUAUUUUGAACCGCAUGGUUCAAAAGUGAAAGACGGUCUUGCUGUCACUUAUAGAUGGAUCCGCGCUGCAUUAGCUAGUUGGUAAGGUAACGGCUUACCAAGGCAACGAUGCAUAGCCGACCUGAGAGGGUGAUCGGCCACACUGGAACUGAGACACGGUCCAGACUCCUACGGGAGGCAGCAGUAGGGAAUCUUCCGCAAUGGGCGAAAGCCUGACGGAGCAACGCCGCGUGAGUGAUGAAGGUCUUCGGAUCGUAAAACUCUGUUAUUAGGGAAGAACAUAUGUGUAAGUAACUGUGCACAUCUUGACGGUACCUAAUCAGAAAGCCACGGCUAACUACGUGCCAGCAGCCGCGGUAAUACGUAGGUGGCAAGCGUUAUCCGGAAUUAUUGGGCGUAAAGCGCGCGUAGGCGGUUUUUUAAGUCUGAUGUGAAAGCCCACGGCUCAACCGUGGAGGGUCAUUGGAAACUGGAAAACUUGAGUGCAGAAGAGGAAAGUGGAAUUCCAUGUGUAGCGGUGAAAUGCGCAGAGAUAUGGAGGAACACCAGUGGCGAAGGCGACUUUCUGGUCUGUAACUGACGCUGAUGUGCGAAAGCGUGGGGAUCAAACAGGAUUAGAUACCCUGGUAGUCCACGCCGUAAACGAUGAGUGCUAAGUGUUAGGGGGUUUCCGCCCCUUAGUGCUGCAGCUAACGCAUUAAGCACUCCGCCUGGGGAGUACGACCGCAAGGUUGAAACUCAAAGGAAUUGACGGGGACCCGCACAAGCGGUGGAGCAUGUGGUUUAAUUCGAAGCAACGCGAAGAACCUUACCAAAUCUUGACAUCCUUUGACAACUCUAGAGAUAGAGCUUUCCCCUUCGGGGGACAAAGUGACAGGUGGUGCAUGGUUGUCGUCAGCUCGUGUCGUGAGAUGUUGGGUUAAGUCCCGCAACGAGCGCAACCCUUAAGCUUAGUUGCCAUCAUUAAGUUGGGCACUCUAAGUUGACUGCCGGUGACAAACCGGAGGAAGGUGGGGAUGACGUCAAAUCAUCAUGCCCCUUAUGAUUUGGGCUACACACGUGCUACAAUGGACAAUACAAAGGGCAGCGAAACCGCGAGGUCAAGCAAAUCCCAUAAAGUUGUUCUCAGUUCGGAUUGUAGUCUG
This 1319-nucleotide ribosomal RNA is filed under the name Staphylococcus aureus. Its description in RNAcentral is "bacterial SSU rRNA". It matches the Rfam family "Bacterial small subunit ribosomal RNA", at positions 7 to 1307 of the family's 1533-position model. The record is from RNAcentral. Lineage: Bacteria; Bacillati; Bacillota; Bacilli; Caryophanales; Staphylococcaceae.